This is a non-coding RNA of Physcomitrium patens, 910 nucleotides long. NCBI's taxonomy places the organism in Eukaryota, Viridiplantae, Streptophyta, Bryopsida, Funariales, Funariaceae. The record is from RefSeq and is a predicted model, not a curated record.
GAUGGUUGGCAUUCGAUCCAAACCCCAAGUCUGACAAUUCCUCCGCUCUCUCUCAUCUGACCUGUGGGGGAAGGGGGAUUGUAACGGCAUCCACACUCUAUGGGCAGUCUCUGGCACCUGAGUGAGAUCUUCAAUAAAAGCACCGGCAUCAUUUCCAAUUCUCACAUAGCUCAGGUUGCCUCCGCAGCCCCAACAAAGGGGUCUACUACAGUUGGAUGAACCUUCGCGGACCAGCUCAGCUGUGCGGGUUGCCAAGUGGCUCUGCGUUCGCCAUCUCUUUCCUUCUCCCGCCGACUCCCCCCAUAUUAUAUACCCUAGUCCCAUGCACACUCACACUUAUUCUCUUUCAACCCCACGGGGGUUGAAUCCUGUUCUGCCAGUUCCGCUAGUAUAUCACCAGCUAGUCCUCUUGCUAUUCUUAGGGUUUUGUGUUUCUCCGUUACGAACUCAACAUCCACUCACGGCUUCGUGGGUUGAGAAGUCGAGGAGCGUUCGGGAGGAUUCGAGUGCGAGGAGAGGUGAUUGGAAGCCGUGGUGAUGAAUCUCCGACGUUGAGUUCGAUGAGGUGGGAGUAGGGUGGGGUGAUUGUGGAGCCCAAUUCUGCAGAUCACCGUGAGUCGUCGUCGUCGUCGUCGAUCCGGUUUGUGAUGAUUCUCUUGGAGGGAGUGCUCGCCUUCUUCCGCCGGUGUUUCGUCGCUCCACCAUUUUAUUAUUCAUGUAUGGGUUCUUCCUCAAUUCUGCUACUAUGGGGGAAAAAAUUCUGUAAUCAGGGAUUUUAGAGUUGGAGUUUUUGAGUUCUUGACUUUCGAAAUCAGGGUUUGAAAGUUUUGCAUGAAAAUCUCUUUUUAUUAGAAUUACAAAAUGUAAACUCUAUGAUUUUAAAUUUUAUUGAUUAUUGAUUAUUGAUUUA